Molecule: long non-coding RNA, 577 nt
Organism: Alligator sinensis (Chinese alligator)
Lineage: Eukaryota; Metazoa; Chordata; Crocodylia; Alligatoridae
Exons: 2
Source: RefSeq, a predicted model, not a curated record
GCCCUUUCCCUCUUCCAGAGCCCAACCCGAUGCUGAUUGUGGGCACCGUGAUCGGUGUCAUCGUGCUGGUCAUUGCCGGAGCGGGCGCAGGUGUUCACUGGCGCAGGAUGUACCCUUCACUGAGGAGGAUUGAUGUUGCUGCUCCUACGUGGAAAAAGGAAACCCCCGAGGAGCAGCGGAGCUGACACCACACGCUGCUCUUGCCGGGAACAUCGUCCCUGCUCCCAGCCGCGCAGGCGUGAAGGCUGCCACCUCGGAGACGUUUCUGGACAUCUUGCCUCGCGGUGCAGCUGCUGCUACGCAGUGGUGACCGGGGCGCCAUCCGGGUGGGAGGGGAGGGCACUGGCUGGUGUGACGAUGCCGCAGGGCAUCUCUUUCCAGCCAGGCCAGUGUUAUAAUUGAUGAGCCCUGCUUGCUUCCUUGGAUGUCUCCCCUCCAGCUGCCCCCUGCCAGGGGCCUGACCGCAGCGAUGGUAUGAAGUGCACACAGAUUUUGUGAUGAUCUAAGAGUCCUUAUAACUUAUUGUCCCAUUUUUACAUUGUGUUUUUACCAUAAAUGCAUCUUUUUGCAUCAGUUA